CCUACGGGAGGCAGCAGUGGGGAAUAUUGCACAAUGGGGGAAACCCUGAUGCAGCGACGCCGCGUGAGUGAAGAAGGAUUUCGGUAUGUAAAGCUCUAUCAGAAGGGAAGAAGAAAGACGGUACCUGACUAAGAAGCCCCGGCUAACUACGUGCCAGCAGCCGCGGUAAUACGUAGGGGGCAAGCGUUAUCCGGAUUUACUGGGUGGAAAGGGAGCGUAGACGGCUGUGCAAGUCUGAAGUGAAAGCCCAGGGCUUAACCCUGGGACUGCUUUGGAAACUGUGGAGCUAGAGUGCGGGAGAGGUAAGUGGAAUUCCUAGGGGAGCGGUGAAAUGCGUAGAUAUUAGGAGGAACACCAGUGGCGAAGGCAGCUUACUGGACAGUAACUGACGUUGAGGCUCGAAAGCGUGGGGAGCAAACAGGAUUAGAUACCCGAGUAGUC
This 441-nucleotide ribosomal RNA is filed under the name uncultured bacterium. Its description in RNAcentral is "partial 16S ribosomal RNA". It matches the Rfam family "Bacterial small subunit ribosomal RNA", at positions 338 to 795 of the family's 1533-position model. The record is from RNAcentral.